UUAAACUGGGAUUAGAUACCCCACUAUGCUAAGCCGCAAAUAUAACUACAAUUACAUCCGCCAGAAUACUACAAGCAAUAGCUUGAAACUCAAAGGACUUGGCGGUAUUCCAAACCCAUCCAGAGGAGCCUGUUCUAUAAUCGACAAUACCCGCUAAACCUCACCAUUUUUUGUUUACCAGCCUAUAUACCACCGUCGCCAGCUAACCUUUUGAAAGUAAAAUAGUUAGCACAAAGAAUCUCCUCAAAACGUCAGGUCAAGGUGUAGCAAAUGAAAUGGGAAGAAAUGGGCUACAUUUUCUUAUCAAGAAUAAACGAACGGUGUAAUGAAAAAUCACCUGAAGGCGGAUUUGACAGUAACUAGAAACAAUCAUAUUCUACUUAAAACAGCAAUGGAAUACGCACACACCGCCCGUCACCCUC
This 422-nucleotide ribosomal RNA is filed under the name Boulengerula uluguruensis (Uluguru pink caecilian). Its description in RNAcentral is "partial 12S ribosomal RNA". It matches the Rfam family "Bacterial small subunit ribosomal RNA", at positions 767 to 1404 of the family's 1533-position model. Lineage: Eukaryota; Metazoa; Chordata; Amphibia; Gymnophiona; Herpelidae. The record is from RNAcentral.